Molecule: ribosomal RNA, 2008 nt
Filed under: Xenorhabdus nematophila ATCC 19061
Lineage: Bacteria; Pseudomonadati; Pseudomonadota; Gammaproteobacteria; Enterobacterales; Morganellaceae
Description: LSU rRNA
Rfam family: Bacterial large subunit ribosomal RNA
Source: RNAcentral
GUGACUGCGUACCUUUUGUAUAAUGGGUCAGCGACUUAUAUUCUGUAGCAAGGUUAACCGUCUAGGGGAGCCGCAGGGAAACCGAGUCUUAACGGGGCGUUAAGUUGCAGGGUAUAGACCCGAAACCCGGUGAUCUAGCCAUGGGCAGGUUGAAGGUUGGGUAACACUAACUGGAGGACCGAACCGACUAAUGUUGAAAAAUUAGCGGAUGACUUGUGGCUGGGGGUGAAAGGCCAAUCAAACCGGGAGAUAGCUGGUUCUCCCCGAAAGCUAUUUAGGUAGCGCCUCGUGAAGUCAUCUUCGGGGGUAGAGCACUGUUUCGGCUAGGGGGUCAUCCCGACUUACCAACCCGAUGCAAACUGCGAAUACCGAAGAAUGUUAUCACGGGAGACACACGGCGGGUGCUAACGUCCGUCGUGAAGAGGGAAACAACCCAGACCGCCAGCUAAGGUCCCGAAGUCAUGGUUAAGUGGGAAACGAAGUGGGAAGGCUCAGACAGCCAGGAUGUUGGCUUAGAAGCAGCCAUCAUUUAAAGAAAGCGUAAUAGCUCACUGGUCGAGUCGGCCUGCGCGGAAGAUGUAACGGGGCUAAACCAUGCACCGAAGCUGCGGCAGCGACAUGAAAGUGUUGCUGGGUAGGGGAGCGUUCUGUAAGCCGCAGAAGGUGGCCUGUGAGGGCUGCUGGAGGUAUCAGAAGUGCGAAUGCUGACAUAAGUAACGAUAAAGCGGGUGAAAAACCCGCUCGCCGGAAGACCAAGGGUUCCUGUCCAACGUUAAUCGGGGCAGGGUGAGUCGACCCCUAAGGCGAGGCCGACAGGCGUAGUCGAUGGGCAACAGGUUAAUAUUCCUGUACUCGGUGUGACUGCGAAGGGGGGACGGAGAAGGCUAGGCCAGCCGGGCGACGGUCGUCCCGGUUGAAGCGUGUAGGUGGGUGGUUUUGGAAAAUCCGGACCGCUGUUAACACUGAGGCGUGAUAACGAGGCACUACGGUGCCGAAGUGGUUGAUGCCCUGCUUCCAGGAAAAGCCUCUAAGCAUCAGGUCACAAUGAAUCGUACCCCAAACCGACACAGGUGGUCAGGUAGAGAAUACUCAGGCGCUUGAGAGAACUCGGGUGAAGGAACUAGGCAAAAUGGUGCCGUAACUUCGGGAGAAGGCACGCUGGCGCCAGGUGAAGGAACGAGCUUCCGGAGCCGAGGCCAGUCGCAGAUACCAGCUGGCUGCAACUGUUUAAUAAAAACACAGCACUGUGCAAACACGCAAGUGGACGUAUACGGUGUGACGCCUGCCCGGUGCUGGAAGGUUAAUUGAUGGGGUUAUCGCGUUGCGAGAAGCUCUUGAUCGAAGCCCCAGUAAACGGCGGCCGUAACUAUAACGGUCCUAAGGUAGCGAAAUUCCUUGUCGGGUAAGUUCCGACCUGCACGAAUGGCGUAAUGAUGGCCAGGCUGUCUCCACCCGAGACUCAGUGAAAUUGAACUCGCUGUGAAGAUGCAGUGUACCCGCGGCAAGACGGAAAGACCCCGUGAACCUUUACUAUAGCUUGACACUGAACCUUGAGCCUUGAUGUGUAGGAUAGGUGGGAGGCCUGGAAGUGCGGACGCCAGUCUGCAUGGAGCCAACCUUGAAAUACCACCCUUGAAUGUUUGAUGUUCUAACGCAGGCCCGUGAUCCGGGUUGCGGACAGUGUCUGGUGGGUAGUUUGACUGGGGCGGUCUCCUCCCAAAGCGUAACGGAGGAGCACGAAGGUUAGCUAAUCACGGUCGGACAUCGUGAGGUUAGUGCAAUGGCAUAAGCUGGCUUGACUGCGAGAGUGACAGCUCGAGCAGGUGCGAAAGCAGGUCAUAGUGAUCCGGUGGUUCUGCAUGGAAGGGCCAUCGCUCAACGGAUAAAAGGUACUCCGGGGAUAACAGGCUGAUACCGCCCAAGAGUUCAUAUCGACGGCGGUGUUUGGCACCUCGAUGUCGGCUCAUCACAUCCUGGGGCUGAAGCAGGUCCCAAGGGUACGGCUGUU